Molecule: unclassified non-coding RNA, 421 nt
Filed under: Hevea brasiliensis (rubber tree)
Lineage: Eukaryota; Viridiplantae; Streptophyta; Magnoliopsida; Malpighiales; Euphorbiaceae
Source: RNAcentral
GAGAUGGCAAAGCUUCCAGCCAAAUUUGUAGAGGUGACGGCGGAGAAAGGGCUAGUAGUUCCUUGGUGUCUUCAAUUGGAAGUUUUAUCUCAUGAAUCGAUCGGUUGUUUUGUGACGCAUUGCGGCUGGAACUCGACGCUCGAGGCUCUAACCAUCGGCGUUCCCAUGGUGACGAUGCCGCAGUGGACGGAUCAAACCAUUAAUGCCAAGUUUGUAAUGGAUGUUUGGAAGAUCGGAAUUAGGGCUCUGCCUGACUGUAACGGAAUUGUGCGGCGGACAACGAUUGCAGAUUGUAUCUUGAAGAUCAUGGAUGACGACAGAGGAAUAGAGAUUCGGAGAAACGCCGCUAAAUGGGGAAUGUUGGCAAAGCAAGCGGUGGAUCACGGUGGAAGUUCCGAUCAGAAUGUUGAUAAGAUUCUUG